This is a long non-coding RNA of Columba livia (rock pigeon), 5278 nucleotides long. RefSeq lists it as uncharacterized. The record is from RefSeq and is a predicted model, not a curated record. Lineage: Eukaryota; Metazoa; Chordata; Aves; Columbiformes; Columbidae. The transcript has 3 exons.
UUUCCUGAAGACAAUCAUGUGAUAACCCUAAGCGGACCACAUAAAUGUAUUAAUCUCAUAUCCCUAAGUGUUAUGGAGAAUGGAGAAACCUCCAUACUUUGGCAUUCCUGUGUAUGGGGAGUCAAGAAUGAAAGGAAAGGAGCGGUUUUGUAGUGAAAAUACAAAACUGCUGAGUAACAGCAACAUGAGUGUACAGGGACUUGCUGUGGAGUGGCCUCCAGUGGAAGUGGAAACUCCGUCAUUCAAAGCAUCAAAGUCUUAUGACUGUUGGGAGUCUCACGGUACCGGCUGUUCUUCUUAAAUCUCCGGCUUCUGGAGCUGAAGAGUUCGUCAGCAUUUCCACGUACCUUACACAGCAACACACGGGUUCUCCUGCCUGUGGAGGAAAGCUUGGGACAAGGGACUCGGCAUCGUACCCUUGAAUGAGUGGGUAAGUCUCCGGUGGCAGAGCCACAGCUGACCCAGGGGACAAGCAAAGGCAACUGAUGGAAACAGAAGCCCCUUGAGGCUGAUGAUGUCUGACGGCUCCUCAUAAUGCUUUAUCACGUGUGGGAGUCUCAUCUGGAUUUUGGAAGGACAUGAUCUGAAGGCAGGACAGCUAUUUCAGUGAGUGAAAUCGAGCGGAAAAUCUCUCUUCUCCGUGGGAGCGCUCCAGCCCUGGCCCGGCGGAGCGGUCCCGUGCGUGAAAGCCCCCAGCGGUGCCUGCGCUGCGCUGGUCCCCAGCGCCGUGCCGUGGACCCAGGAGAAGGGACGUCGCACCAGGGAGAUGCUUCUUCUACCAGAGCCAGGAAUAAAUUACAAGACUAUUUGCCGGUGCUGCUGUGUGGGCACCAGCAAAUGACAGCUUCGGUCACCAUCUUCUGUACCUGCUGACCUGCUCGUGUGAAAGGGGCUGUACAGGUGUCAACGGCCAUCUUCAUGGACAUGUGGGGCAGGAAGAACGACGUUUCUGCCAUUGUGACUUCAUUUUUGCAUGGCCAUAGUGAAAGUCAGGGCCAUUUCAACAGCUGGUGGGGCUCUCUUUGGAGGGCCACAUCCCAAAGCACAUUUUGAGAGUCUUUGUGCAGACACUUUGGACUGUUUGUGCGUUAGAGAUGCUAACUCCAUGUUGGGGAAGAUCUGGGGAAGACUCAGUUUACAGCCCUGAUGUUUCAUUUCUCAGGAAAUUGCAAAAAUGUUUCCCAGGUUUUAUGUGUGAGAGAGCGUCUACUCUGGUUGUCACUCAGCUGCGGAGCACUACAAGGCCCAAAUCCAGAGGUUAAGCUUGUCUUAAGUUGUCAUAAUCAACUCGUUGGUGUGCCUAAACCAUCUGAUCCUGUCUUUGCUCAGUUUUCAGGGCAAAAAAAGAGCGGGUCACAGGUACGCAAGUCUUUCAGCAGGGCGGUACUUGGUUUGGAGGCUGUGACAGAAUGUGAAACCAGAUUAGUUUCACGUGAAAUCAAGUUUUCCUACUGGCGUUCUCCAUGAGCGCACUUACCAUCGGAGCUGCAGCGAGCUGGAAAGCUGCUUGACAGGAACUUGGAAGCAGAGCUGAGGUCCAAGGUAUUCCUCAGUGCCUCAGCUGGUGCAAGGAACGGAGGCCUGUCUGUGUAUUUCACACGUGUCUCUGCUUUCUGUCAUGAGCAAGACCCAGUUAUAAUGUAACAUAAAGUGCAAGGGACGCUAUAUACUAUCUAGUAAUACCGACGUGAACUUUCACUGAAAUCAUUACGGUAUGCACAAAACUUCCUUUUAUUACAUUUCACAAAAUAUGCUGAAAUUGUUAAUUCAAGCACUCAAAAAUUAGGCUAGCCAAGCAUUAAUAUUGUAACUAUAAUGCAGCCUUUUUUUCUCUUCCUAUGCUUGAUUCAGUUAAAUAAUAAUUGCCUUAUUCUGUACUGCUUCAUUCACUGGACGCUUACUGGUUAUUCAGGAUUUUAAUAUCCCCUUUUAAUAUGUGGUCCCAGAUGUUUUGUACUGCACAUUAUUCAAAUGCUGCCGGAAUACGAAAGUUAAUUGACUUGUCUACAUUUCCGUGGUGGUAUCACCAUCAUAUCCGAAUGCUUCUCAAAAUCAAUUACUUCACCUUUGCAUCGAUCCUGUGUAACCUCAUCUGGGUGUUCCUGGGUGAUCUUUCGAGGUCCCUUCCAAUCCCUAACAUUCUGUGAGUCUGUGAUCAAUGUUGCGAUAGUCAAUCAUAUUACUAUCCCCUUUUACAACCAAGUAGAGAAGACAGCUACUCAGCUUCCAUGAGACUCCAAUGAGUAUUUGCGGAGUAGUGUUUCUGAAGUGCACGAGUUAGUCAGACACAGGUAAAGACUGAGUCACAUUAGGGGCCGCAAGAGAUUCAGACACCGUGCUCAUUCCCACAUCACCAAUCAUCCAGCCCUUACUAAACAGAAGGGAGGAGGCAAGAACUUCUCGGUGAAAUGUGUGUGAGACUGUUAUUUUUAUAGUGUUUUUAAGCUUCAGAGACAUCACCCAGGUAGGUCAGGAUGUCAGGGACUAAACAGCAACACUUUCAGCUGCCUGGUGUGAUGAAAACCUUACACAGACUCUCUCAUCCUCCUGUUUGCCUCCUUGUAUGGUGGGCUUGUGACUAGAAAAGCCCUAAUUAGCUCUCAAACAAUUCCUGAAACAGCAGGUGGAAUUUAUUCCCACAGUUCUUUGGUGCGUUCCUUUUUCCCUGAGCACAAAAGGAAACGUAGUGCUGUCUCAGAGGCCCCCCCAGCUGGAGUUACUUGUGGAUGAUGCCUCAUCUGUUUCUGUUGCCGACGGAAACGUGCGGGUCAGUGCUGACAAGCAGGGCUCGUGCUCUGCUUCCUGCGGCCGGGGGAGGAGCUGCUCUGGCGUUCGGGGUGCGGUCCCUCGGGCUGCGCGGCUGCCGCGGGUUGCUGCUCGGGUGGCAGCCAGCCGGCCAGCGCAGCUGUGGUGCCACAGCCCGGGGCUGCCCGGCCCGCAGCACUGGCGCUCCCACGUCAUGUCCAAACUGCGUGUGAAUGGGAACUGACGGUGACACUUCCAGUGAAGAAAUACGUUUUCUGAAGCUACAUGCAAUAGCUAGACUUGUAAAUGUCUGGAAGCUAUUUAAGAAUGUCAGUCUAUGAGUGACUUUGUAUAUGUGCAUGAGUCUCUUAAUAUCAGAGAGAUUUCCAACUUUUCAAAUAACAUUAAUGCUAUCCUCUAGCAUGCAAAUUGCACACAAAUCAGCUACAAUAAAUUAUAACAAUUAAAAUGUUAAGAGGCACGUUAGUUCAUUUUCUCUUGCCAGUCUCUGUGUUUCAAAUAAUGCUUUCUGUGUGGUGGCUUACUACCAUUCAUGAGAGCAUCAGUACACUAAUCAAGCAUUAGCAUUAAUCAAAUAAAUAUAAAAUUCUGCUCUGAACACGUCUAGAUGACAGAGGAGCCUAGAUGCUGGCAGGUAGAUGUGCUUUACUUGUAAAAGCAUCACGACUUGCAGGUCUUGCACAGCAACCACAGAACGGUUUGGGUGGGAAGGGACCUUAAAGGUCAUCUGGCUCCAGCCCCCAAUGGGGGAGGAAUUUUCAGAAAAUAAUUCUAAACCAGAUGUAGUUGAAUAGACCCGAGCAAAAAGGACCGAUAGCUGUCAACCUGAGGCGCGUGCGUCCCUUAAGCAAAGGAGCUUCUGCUUUCUGGCAACGCAGAUCACUGGGGUUUUUUAAAGAUCAUUUUCUACAUCUGUUUCCCCCUCUUUUGCCUUUGUGACCUCGCACAGAUGAUGUAGGUUUUGAGAGAGCUUUGAGACUUGCUGACAUUGUAAGGCUGGAGAUGGAGUCCGUAAUUUAUUAGAUUUCCCUGCAAGCACCAGACUUACCUUCCUAACUUAGUUUCUCAGGCACCUACAGUUGGCUGGUAGAAAAGGGACCAUAUUAUUUUUAGCUGAACUGCUAUGGAUAUAGUAAUGUCUGCAGCAAAUUAAACGAGAAGGAAGGACACCUGUUUCACCCCCUUGCUCACACCAAGGCAGCGCUGGGAGGUGAGCACCGGCACUGGGGAGCAUUUAUGGUACGGGAACAAAGACACGGUUGACCCCUGACGUCAUUUAAAGCUACUUGAUGCCAAGGACUUCCUAACUUUUUAUGGAUAUUGAAACAAGUAAGUCAUGGAAAUGAUGACCGACUCCAGCUACACGGGAGCAGAGAGAUUAGCUGCUAAUAUGGAAAGUUACCUGGCCAGCGCUGAGAUCAGUCUCGAGGGAAGGGGGAGACCAGAGCCGGGCUGCUGAAACCGUGAGGCAACGUGGCUGCUGAUGAAGAGGAGCUGGAGCUCAGGAUGGCUGGGAGAGGAAAAGGUUUUCUCUGCUGAAGCCAAAAGUGUCGUCACAAUGUGGCUGUCGGACGGAGCUGCGUUUUCUAGCUGCUUGAUAUUAUGGGAAUAAAAAGCAUGAGGAAGUUAUGGAAUUUAGACUGUGAAGUGCAUGGCAGGAAGAGCGGUAAAUCAAGGACCAGCACAAGACUGGAAAGCCUCUACUCGACCCUUAGCAAAAUAUCAGCAAAGAUAUUAUUUUUGUUAGAAUGAAUCUUUGCCUUAGGAUGGCUUGAAAGACACUGUGUGGGUCACUGUGCAGCCAGCUAUUUAGGUCCUGUAAAUUAGAUUCAUAGAAGACAAUGAUAAUGGCUGGAAGUGGAACUAAGACAUUAAAGCUUUCUCUCUCUCUUUCUUGUUUGUUUGCUACUCAGUCCUGAUAAUUCGUGGGGUUUUGGAUAAUUUUCUUCCUGAACACUGACACACAAUUGGUAUAGAAUGUUGGCAUAUAAUGUAUGCGUUAUGUUAGCUUAAGUUUUUGGUAAUUACAGAAACCUGCCACCUUGGAGCUGCCUUCUGCUUCCAUUCUUGUCUCUGACUUUGGUGGUUGAAAUUUCUUUUAGCAUCAUAAAAUUCAGUGUUGUAAAAUUCAUAUUGUAACUUUAAAAGCCACAUCUGUUUUAAACAUUUUUGUUUUAAGAACUUGAUAUGAAUUUAAUGACAGGGCUACAGAAGUACAAGUUGAAGGAAAUUAUCACAGGUCUGUAAAGCCGUAAGAUAAGUUUCUGCACUUCUGUGGGCCAUCAAAUAACAAAGAACCCAAUUGAUUUUAUUGUAUCAGUUCUGCUCUGAAAGCAUUUCAUGGUUUAAUCUACGAGCAAGAAUUAACGUUGCAUUUACAUUACUAUUAAUAAUGACAGCUAUCCCCAGAUGUAGGACAUUGUCAUUAGCACAGAGACACGGACACCAUGUUCAGAAAAAAAUUCUUUACAGUGUUUGACAAUAAUAAAUUAUCAACAUAUUUUGUGUGCCA